Molecule: ribosomal RNA, 481 nt
Filed under: uncultured bacterium
Lineage: Bacteria
Description: partial 16S ribosomal RNA
Rfam family: Bacterial small subunit ribosomal RNA
Source: RNAcentral
GAUGAACGCUAGCGGCAGGCCUAAUACAUGCCAGUCGAACGAGAUUAAGAGACUUUCUUCUUAUGAAAGUGGCGCACGGGUGCGUAACGCGUAUGCAACCUACCUUAAUCAGGGGGAUAGCCCGAAGAAAUUCGGAUUAAGACCGCAUAAAAACACAGGAUAGCAUUAUCCAAUGUUCAAAUAUUUAUAGGAUUAAGAUGGGCAUGCGUGUCAUUAGGUAGUUGGCGGGGUAACGGCCCACCAAGGCGACGAUGACUAGGGGAUCUGAGAGGAUGACCCCCAACACUGGUACUGAGACACGGACCAGAAUCCUGCGGGGGGCAGCAGUAAGGAAUAUAGGUCAAUGGAGGGAACUCUGAACCAGCCAUGCCGCGUGCAGGAAGACAGCCCUCUGGGUCGUAAACUGCUUUUAUUCGGGAAUAAACCUUUCUACGUGUAGGAAGCUGAAUGUACCGAAGGAAUAAGGAGCGGCUAACUCCGU